ACGGAGAGUUUGAUCCUGGCUCAGAACUAACGCUGGCGGCGCGUCUUAAACAUGCAAGUGGAACGGUAAGGCUCGAGCUUGCUCGAGUACACGAGUCGCAAACGGGUGAGUAACACGUGGGUAAUCUGCCUUGAAGUGGGGGAUAGCUUCGGGAAACCGAAAUUAAUACCGCAUGUGCCAGUAAUGGUAAAGGGGGCUUCGGCUCUCGCUUCAAGAUGAGCCCGCGCACCAUUAGCUUGUUGGUGGGGUAAAAGCCUACCA
Molecule: ribosomal RNA, 261 nt
Filed under: Thalassiosira minuscula
Lineage: Eukaryota; Bacillariophyta; Thalassiosirophyceae; Thalassiosirales; Thalassiosiraceae
Description: partial Bacterial small subunit ribosomal RNA
Rfam family: Bacterial small subunit ribosomal RNA
Source: RNAcentral